Long non-coding RNA from Adelges cooleyi (spruce gall adelgid), 293 nucleotides. RefSeq lists it as uncharacterized. NCBI's taxonomy places the organism in Eukaryota, Metazoa, Arthropoda, Insecta, Hemiptera, Adelgidae. The transcript is spliced from 3 exons. The record is from RefSeq and is a predicted model, not a curated record.
UUCACUUUUCUAGUUGUUCAUAAUUAUUGUCAAGAUAUUUCACAGUAGAUAAACAAAAAAAAAUGAUUUGGAAAAUUAUACUUUUGUUGCCGUGUUUUGAAGUUUUAGUAAACGCUGGUUGCAUUCAAACGAGUGGGAGAAAUUCUUCAACACAGACGGACGAGCAUGGCCAUUUGGAUAAUAAUUAUGCUUUGGCCGAAGCACCGGCACCGCAUGCAACAAUUGAAGGUUGGCUAGAAUCCUUACAACGUCAGGAUUAUAUAAAUUGGUCUUUUUUGGAUAAAACACCUAGU